AAAUAAGAAGCGAAUCAUUGCAGUCAGUUUCGACCUGAAAAAUUGGUAAAACAUACCCUUAUUUA
RNAcentral lists this transfer RNA (65 nucleotides) under Ceracris hoffmanni. RNAcentral describes it as "tRNA-Arg". Lineage: Eukaryota; Metazoa; Arthropoda; Insecta; Orthoptera; Acrididae. RNAcentral also lists the same sequence under 1 other name. The record is from RNAcentral.